GACGAACCGUGCGAAUGUUGUUCGGAAUCACUGGGCUUAAAGGGAGCGUAGGCGGGCUAUCAAGUCUGGGGUGAAAUGCCGCGGCUCAACCGUGGAACUGCCUUAGAUACUGACGGCCUCGAGGGAGAUAGGGGCAUGCGGAACUGUAGGUGGAGCGGUGAAAUGCGUUGAUAUCUACAGGAACUCCGGUGGCGAAAGCGGCGUGCUGGAUCUCUUCUGACGCUGAGGCUCGAAAGCUAGGGGAGCAAACGGG
RNAcentral lists this ribosomal RNA (253 nucleotides) under uncultured bacterium. RNAcentral's name for it is "partial 16S ribosomal RNA". It matches the Rfam family "Bacterial small subunit ribosomal RNA", at positions 524 to 776 of the family's 1533-position model. The record is from RNAcentral.